AUUGUUUCUUGGCCUUUUGGCUAAGAUCAAGUGUAGUAUCUGUACUGAGCAUAUAGAACAUGCUUAACAAAGAUAAAUUCAUUGCUCAAUUAAAAGAAUAUGCCAUUUUAUACCAGGUCUUGAGGUGUGCACCUAUUAUCCCAGCACUCACAAGGCUGGGGCAGGAGGAUCACCA
RNAcentral lists this small nuclear RNA (175 nucleotides) under Fukomys damarensis (Damara mole-rat). Its description in RNAcentral is "U2 spliceosomal RNA". It matches the Rfam family "U2 spliceosomal RNA". Rfam says of the family: U2 is a small nuclear RNA (snRNA) component of the spliceosome (involved in pre-mRNA splicing). Complementary binding between U2 snRNA (in an area lying towards the 5' end but 3' to hairpin I) and the branchpoint sequence (BPS) of the intron results the bulging out of an unpaired adenosine, on the BPS, which initiates a nucleophilic attack at the intronic 5' splice site, thus starting the first of two transesterification reactions that mediate splicing. Lineage: Eukaryota; Metazoa; Chordata; Mammalia; Rodentia; Bathyergidae. The record is from Rfam by way of RNAcentral.